GCCGAUACGAAAGCAUGACUCUCCAACGGGUCACCUGCACAGCAAGAGCAAGACCGACAGCCCGCCUCGGCACCUCAGCCCGCCCCAAUGCUCCCUCCAUGGCCUCCUGCAGGGCUUGAGGUGUUCAGGCUCCCCACACUGCUGCCCCACGCAGUGCCAGGGCACUGCCACACAUGUAAUCUGCGGCGCCAUGCCCGGUCUGAGGGCGCCGCUGGACUGGAGUUGCCGGAGCCAGUGUUGACGUCGGACAUGAUGCCACACUUUGAGGACGUAGCGAUCAUUCCUAACCCCGGGGAGCGCGCCGAGGCCAUGCGCCAGCUGAUCAACCGCCUGCCAACCGCCAACCGCCUGCUGCUACAAUACAUGUUCAAGCAUAUGGGACACAUCAUUGCAAGGGUUGUGCCGAUACGAAGGCCUGACUCUCCAACGGGUCACCUGUACAGCAAGAGCAAGAGCAAGACCGCCAGCCCGCCUCGGCCCCUCAGCCCGCCCCAAAGCUCCCUCCAUGGCCUCCUGCAGGGCUUGAGGUGGUCAGGCUAUUCACAGUGCUGCCCCACGCAGUGCCAGGGCAGUGCCACACCUGUAAUCUGCGGCGCCAUGCCCGGUCUGAGGGCGCCGCUGGACUGUUGUGCCGAUACGAAGGCCUGACUCUCCAACGGGUCACCUGUACAGCAAGAGCAAGAGCAAGACCGCCAGCCCGCCUCGGCCCCUCAGCCCGCCCCAAAGCUCCCUCCAUGGCCUCCUGCAGGGCUUGAGGUGGUCAGGCUAUUCACAGUGCUGCCCCACGCAGUGCCAGGGCAGUGCCACACCUGUAAUCUGCGGCGCCAUGCCCGGUCUGAGGGCGCCGCUGGACUGGAGUUGCCGGAGCCAGUGUUGACGUCGGACAUGAUGCCACACUUUGAGGACGUAGCGAUCAUUCCUAACCCCGGGGAGCGCGCCGAGGCCAUGCACCAGCUGAUCAACCGCCUGCCAACCGCCAACCGCCUGCUGCUACAAUACAUGUUCAAGCAUAUGGGACACAUCAUUGCAAGGCAUCUUGUCAGCCGUCCCAGCCUCUCGUCACCCUAUCCCCGCUGGACUCUGGGUAAAGACGUGACCAACCCCCAGCCUCCAGCCUCUUGUCACACCUCCUAGCCUUUCCCCGCUGGACAUUGCUUCGAGACGUGAUGAACAACAACAGCCUCCAGCAUCUGCCACACCUCCGAGCCUCUCUCCUCGUCAUUUGCCCGGUGGACCCUGGACGAGGAGGACGUGAGGAAGAGGAGGUGAAGAUGAAGACGAGGAAUAAG
Eriocheir sinensis (Chinese mitten crab) is the source of this 1289-nucleotide RNA transcript. It is a transcript of the gene named ralA-binding protein 1-A-like, with no coding region annotated. The record is from RefSeq and is a predicted model, not a curated record. The transcript is spliced from 6 exons. NCBI's taxonomy places the organism in Eukaryota, Metazoa, Arthropoda, Malacostraca, Decapoda, Varunidae.